GAUGAACGCUGGCGGCGUGCCUAAUACAUGCAAGUCGAGCGAACAGACGAGGAGCUUGCUCCUCUGACGUUAGCGGCGGACGGGUGAGUAACACGUGGAUAACCUACCUAUAAGACUGGGAUAACUUCGGGAAACCGGAGCUAAUACCGGAUAAUAUACUGAACCGCAUGGUUCAAUAGUGAAAGACGGCUUUGCUGUCACUUAUCGAUGGUUCCGGGCCGCAUUAGCUAGUUGGUAAGGUAACGGCUUACCAAGGCGACGAUGCGUAGCCGACCUGAGAGGGUGAUCGGCCACACUGGAAUUGAGACACGGUCCAGACUCCUACGGGAGGCAGCAGUAGGGAAUCGUCCGCAAUGGGCGAAAGCCUGACGGAGCAACGCCGCGUGAGUGAUGAAGGUCUUCGGAUCGUAAAACUCUGUUAUUAGGGAAGAACAAAUGUGUAAGUAGCUAUGCACGUCUUGACGGUACCUAGUCAGGAAGCCACGGCUAACUACGUG
This 497-nucleotide ribosomal RNA is filed under the name uncultured bacterium. RNAcentral's name for it is "partial 16S ribosomal RNA". It matches the Rfam family "Bacterial small subunit ribosomal RNA", at positions 28 to 507 of the family's 1533-position model. The record is from RNAcentral.